GUCAGAGUCAGAUGGUACAAUCUCACUAUUCCAGGCAGAUGGUCAAGAAUCAUAGAAAAACAGGUGCUGCAAGAGAAAACAGACACGGCAAUACAAAAGCCAAUGGCCUGGAUGGCAUAGAGCAGGUAAGGGAGCCCCACACAGGACUGGCACAGAAUGGAUGUGACACCUUUCCUUCUCUAAACCUGUCCCUCCCUUUACUCCUGGGUUCCUUUGGGUUCACGGAGACAGACAGCUAAGAGAAGGAUGGUCUCCAACUGCCGAGAUUGUCUAGGAUGGGCAUCAUGUCAGAGAGCUCCAGGGUUCAAAGUCACAGCGCA
RNAcentral lists this long non-coding RNA (320 nucleotides) under Rattus norvegicus (Norway rat). RNAcentral describes it as "long non-coding RNA NONRATT033440". Lineage: Eukaryota; Metazoa; Chordata; Mammalia; Rodentia; Muridae. The record is from RNAcentral.